Molecule: unclassified non-coding RNA, 417 nt
Filed under: uncultured Sebacina
Lineage: Eukaryota; Fungi; Basidiomycota; Agaricomycetes; Sebacinales; Sebacinaceae
Description: sequence contains ITS2
Rfam family: 5.8S ribosomal RNA (bases 1-154)
Source: RNAcentral
AACUUUCGGCAAUGGAUCACUUGUCUCUCGCAUCGAUGAAGAACGCAGCGAAAUGCGAUAAGUAAUGUGAAUUGCAGAAUUCAGGGAAUCAUCGAAUCUUUGAACGCACCUUGCACCCUUUGGCAUUCCGAAGGGUAUUCUCUUUUGAGUGUCAUUGUACUCUCACACUCCCGAUGCUUUUGGAUUGGGAGUGGUGGACUUGGGUGUUGCUGCUUUACUGUGGCUCACCUCAAAUGGAGUAGUGCACCUCUUGGUUGGACAUAGUACGGCGUGAUAAGUGUCUUCGCCGGCGCCUCAUUAGAGGGUGGCCGAUCGGGAGCUCUGUGAUUCAAACCGUCUUCGGACAACAUCUGACAACUUGACCUCUACUCGAGUAGGACUGCCCGCUGAACUUAAGCAUAUCAAUAAGCGGAGGCU